AAGGGCAUGGCUGGUUGGCUACGUUCGGGAGGGAUAACCGCUGAAAGCAUCUAAGCGGGAAGCCUGCUUCGAGAUGAGUAUUCCCACCUCCUUGAGAGGGUAAGGCUCCCAGUAGACGACUGGGUUGAUAGGCCGGAUAUGGAAGCCCUGUAAGGGGUGGAGUUGACCGGUACUAAUAGGCCGAGGGCUUGUCCUC
Molecule: ribosomal RNA, 196 nt
Filed under: Streptomyces albidoflavus
Lineage: Bacteria; Bacillati; Actinomycetota; Actinomycetes; Kitasatosporales; Streptomycetaceae
Description: partial 23S ribosomal RNA
Rfam family: Bacterial large subunit ribosomal RNA
Source: RNAcentral